This 301-nucleotide ribosomal RNA is filed under the name uncultured bacterium. RNAcentral's name for it is "partial 16S ribosomal RNA". It matches the Rfam family "Bacterial small subunit ribosomal RNA", at positions 509 to 809 of the family's 1533-position model. The record is from RNAcentral.
CAGCCGCCGCGGUAACACGGAGGAUCCAAGCGUUAUCCGGAAUCAUUGGGUUUAAAGGGUCCGUAGGCGGUCUUGUAAGUCAGUGGUGAAAGCCCAUCGCUCAACGGUGGAACGGCCAUUGAUACUGCAGGACUUGAAUUAUUGGGAAGUAACUAGAAUAUGUAGUGUAGCGGUGAAAUGCUUAGAGAUUACAUGGAAUACCAAUUGCGAAGGCAGGUUACUACCAAUUGAUUGACGCUGAUGGACGAAAGCGUGGGUAGCGAACAGGAUUAGAUACCCGCGUAGUCCCUGUCUCUUAUAA